UUGAUAAGCGUGAGGUCGGAGGUUCAAGUCCUCCCAGGCCCACCAAUCACUCUAUUAAUUUAUAUGCCUUGGUUAUAUACCUUGGAGUGCUUUUUCUAUGCAGGUUACUUCUAUAAAGCCCAUAAAUUUGUAAGUGGUUUAUCCCUCUUACGCAAUAAUGCUCUUAGGCUAAUUUUCUUAGGUGUGCUGAUAAAUGAACUUGUAAAAUGAAGUUCCUGAAAUCAAGGUGGAUUAUAAAACUUAUAGAAGCGUUGUAAAAUGCUGCUUUUCUGUUUGCCUGAGGUCAUGCAGGGUGGAGAAUUUACAAGGAGAUGAGGCAGUCUACAGGCUGAUGUUAUUCUCCUUUGUCUGUUCUUAGAUUUUAUAAGUGCUUUUAAAAUCAAAAAUUUUUGUGUGCAUUAACUGUUUUAGGGGCCGUAGCUCAGCUGGGAGAGCACCUGCUUUG
RNAcentral lists this unclassified non-coding RNA (445 nucleotides) under uncultured Bartonella sp. RNAcentral's name for it is "partial 16S-23S ribosomal RNA intergenic spacer". The record is from RNAcentral. Lineage: Bacteria; Pseudomonadati; Pseudomonadota; Alphaproteobacteria; Hyphomicrobiales; Bartonellaceae.